Molecule: ribosomal RNA, 2119 nt
Filed under: metagenome
Description: bacterial LSU rRNA
Rfam family: Bacterial large subunit ribosomal RNA
Source: RNAcentral
AGGGCGCAUGGCGGAUGCCUUGGCUCUCGGAGGCGAUGAAGGACGUGAUAAGCUGCGAUAAGCUUUGGGGAGGUGCAAAUGACCUUUGAUCCAGAGAUUUCCGAAUGGGACAACCCAAUAUCUUGAAGAGGUAUUAUCUUACUAUGUAAGAGGCUAACGCAGGGAACUGAAACAUCUUAGUACCUGCAGGAAAAGAAAAUAAACAAUGAUUCCCCCAGUAGUGGCGAGCGAACGGGGAACAGCCCAAACCAUCCAUGUUACGGCAUGGGUGGGGUUGUAGGACUACGCCGUUGCAUGAAGACAUCAGAGAAGAACUUUCUGGAAAGAAAGACCAUAGAGCAUGACAGUUGCGUAUUCGAAUGUUGUCGAAGCAUAGUAGUAUCCUGAGUAGCGCGGAGCACGAGGAAUUCUGCGUGAAUCUGCCGGGACCAUCCGGUAAGGCUAAAUACUCCCGAGAGACCGAUAGCGAACCAGUACCGUGAGGGAAAGGUGAAAAGCACUUCGAACAGAAGAGUGAAAUAGUUCCUGAAACCGUGCGCCUACAAGCGGUCGGAGCUCGUUAAUGAGUGACGGCGUGCCUUUUGCAUAAUGAACCUACGAGUUGCCUUUGCCGGCAAGGUUAAGUGUGACGACACACGUAUCCGAAGCGAAAGCGAGUCUGAAUAGGGCGUAUAGUCGGCAGUGGCAGACGCGAAACCAAGUGAUCUACCCUUGGCCAGGUUGAAGGCUGGGUAACACCAGCUGGAGGACCGCACCAAUAAGCGUUGAAAAGCUUCUGGAUGAGCUGAGGGUAGGGGUGAAAGGCUAAUCAAACUUGGAGAUAGCUCGUACUCCCCGAAAUGCAUUUAGGUGCAGCCUUGCGGGUUACUGAUGUGAGGUAGAGCGACUGAUAAGAUGCGAGGGCUUCACCGCCUAUCAAGUCUUGACAAACUCCGAAUGCGCAUCAGUUCUACCGCAGGAGUGAGGGCAUGGGUGCUAAGGUCCGUGCCCGAGAGGAGAAGAAUCCGGACCACCUGCUAAGGUCCCGAAAUGACAGCUAAGUUAAACUAACGAAGUCUGACUGCUAAGACAGCUAGGAUGUUGGCUUGGAAGCAGCCAUUCAUUUAAAGAGUGCGUAACAGCUCACUAGUCGAGGAGUCGGGCGUGGAUAAUAAUCGGGUAUUAAGUUGUCUACCGAAGCAGUGGGAUCAUUUAUAUGAUCGGUAGGGGAGCAUUCCAGUCAGCGUCGAAGGCGUACCGUGAGGUAUUCUGGAGCGUCUGGAAAAGCAAAUGUAGGUAUAAGUAACGAUAAAGGGGGCGGGAAACCCCCUCGCCGAAAGACUAAGGUUUCCUGAUCAACGCUAAUCGGAUCAGGGUCAGUCGGGUCCUAAGGCUCAGCCGAACGGCGAUGCCGAUGGCAGAAACGGUUAAUAUUCCGUUACUACCUUCAGGAGUGACGUGGAGACGCAGUAGUGACAGUGCCGCCAUCUGACGGAAUAGAUGGUUGAAGGGUGUAGGAGUCGAUCAUGGCAGGCAAAUCCACCAUGAGAUCCGAACCUGACAGUAUGCCGCGUCCUUCGGGACAAGGCAAUAGUGCGCGUAAGCAUGCUGCCGAGAAAAUCCGCUAAACUUAAUCCUGCAGGUACCCGUACCGCAAACGGACACACGUAGUCGGGAUGAAUAUUCUAAGGCGCUUGAGUGAUUCACGGUUAAGGAACUAGGCAAACUGACCCUGUAACUUCGGGAUAAAGGGUCCCUACCCUUUUAUGGGAGGGCGCAGAGAAUCGGUCCAGGCAACUGUUUAACAAAAACACAGGGCUGUGCCAAAUCGAAAGAUCCAGUAUACAGCCUGACACCUGCCCGGUGCUGGAAGGUUAAGAGGAGAUGUCAUCGAUAAGAGAAGCGUUGAAUUGAAGCCCCAGUAAACGGCGGCCGUAACUAUAACGGUCCUAAGGUAGCGAAAUUCCUUGUCGGGUAAGUUCCGACCUGCACGAAUGGUGUAAUGAUCUGGACGCUGUCUCAACCGUGAGCUCAGUGAAAUUGUAGUAUCGGUGAAGAUGCCGAUUACCCGCGAUGGGACGAAAAGACCCCGUGAACCUUUACUAUAGCUUAACAUUGAAUUUGGGUAAUUGAUGUGUAG